RNAcentral lists this ribosomal RNA (252 nucleotides) under uncultured prokaryote. RNAcentral describes it as "partial 16S ribosomal RNA". It matches the Rfam family "Bacterial small subunit ribosomal RNA", at positions 525 to 775 of the family's 1533-position model. The record is from RNAcentral.
ACGGAGGUUGCAAGCGUUGUUCGGAAUGACUGGGCGUAAAGGGAGCGCAGGCGGUUUGGUUAGUCUAAAGUGAAAUCCCAGGGCUCAACUCUGGACUGGCUUUGGAUACUGUCAAACUUGAGUACGUGAGAGGAGAUUGGAAUUCCCGGUGUAGCGGUGAAAUGCGUAGAUAUCAGAAGGAACGUCGGCGGCGAAAGCGACUCUCUAGACCGUAACUGACGCUGAGUGUGCGAAAGCUAGGGGAGCAAACGG